This 532-nucleotide ribosomal RNA is filed under the name uncultured bacterium. RNAcentral's name for it is "bacterial SSU rRNA". It matches the Rfam family "Bacterial small subunit ribosomal RNA", at positions 777 to 1306 of the family's 1533-position model. The record is from RNAcentral.
AAUAGAUACCCAGGUAGUCCAUGCCGUAAACGUUGGGAACUAGAUGUAGGGCCUGUUCCACGGGUUCUGUGUCGUAGCUAACGCAUUAAGUUCCCCGCCUGGGGAGUACGGCCGCAAGGCUAAAACUCAAAGGAAUUGACGGGGGGCCCGCACAAGCGGCGGAGCAUGCGGAUUAAUUCGAUGCAACGCGAAGAACCUUACCAAGGCUUGACAUAUAGAAGAACACUGCAGAGAUGCAGGACUCUUUGGACACUUCUAUACAGGUGGUGCAUGGUUGUCGUCAGCUCGUGUCGUGAGAUGUUCGGUUAAGUCCGGCAACGAGCGCAACCCUCGUCCUAUGUUGCCAGCGGGUUAUGCCGGGGACUCAUGGGAUACUGCCGUGGUCAACACGGAGGAAGGUGGGGAUGACGUCAAAUCAUCAUGCCCCUUAUGUCUUGGGCUUCACGCAUGCUACAAUGGCCGGUACAGAGGGUUGCGAUGCCGCGAGGUGGAGCGAAUCCCAAAAAGCCGGUCUCAGUUCGGAUUGGGGUCG